Molecule: long non-coding RNA, 556 nt
Filed under: Elaeis guineensis (African oil palm)
Lineage: Eukaryota; Viridiplantae; Streptophyta; Magnoliopsida; Arecales; Arecaceae
Description: long non-coding RNA (EGUI_LNC074957)
Source: RNAcentral
AUUUUUUCUUAUAUAAAUAAUGAUGCAAUAGUUUUGAAAAUAGUAUUUUUGAAAUAAUGCAUGCAAGUGAGUAAUGGAACGUGGAAGAAAAGAGUACGAAGGAAUAUGCAAAUAGUACUUCUACUAUGCAUAUAGUAUUUUGUGAAAUAGUAAUUUCAUAAAUAGUUAUGAAUAGUAAUGAAUAGUAACUAUAUGAAUGCAGGAUGCAUGUAAUGAUGAAGAAGAUGAAAUUUACGUAAAGUAAACAAUAAAAUAACAUAAAGAAAACACAAACAAACAAAAGAAUGAAGUAACUAAUACUUCAUUAAAACAAGCUUAUGGAUAUGUAUAGAUGAAAACACACGAACAUAAAGAACUUACAGGAUGAAGAAACUAAAGGACGAACAGUAUUUACAUAGGUGGGAGAUAGCUUCCAGAAGCUUGCUUCUCUCUGACACAAACUCUUGAACAAACUUCACACUUAUGUACAGGACUCUUGAACAUACAGAACAAGAACAAGAAGGAAGAAGAGGGCUGUACAGGACUCAUGGGAAGAAUAUAUACAAGGGUACAAGAC